Long non-coding RNA from Gasterosteus aculeatus aculeatus (three-spined stickleback), 2020 nucleotides. The record is from Ensembl. NCBI's taxonomy places the organism in Eukaryota, Metazoa, Chordata, Actinopteri, Perciformes, Gasterosteidae.
GUUCACAAGCAAAAUUACAGUAAAGAAUUGGUCAAGUUUUAUUUGGAGUGUGUUUCUUUCAUGUUCAGGUUUAGCUUGUAGUUGGGUUUUAUAUUGCAAAUCAAUUUGUGAUCAAAGUUUUUAACCCCGGGUUGGGAAAGGCUCACUACUUGUGUCCAAACAACUUUACAUGAAUUAGUUUCAUGUUUAGGGUUGUCAUUGCCUUUACCACAAAGGGAGCGUCCAGUAAAAAGACGCCAUCAGGUUGCAUUUUGGGAAUUGUAGGAUUCAUCUUUUUUGGAGCAUCAUCCGUCCAGGGGAGUAAAGGUAAGGAUAGGAUGGCCUCUGCCCUCUUUCAAAAAUCUGUCUUUUGUGAGUCGUCCAGUUUCAUCAAAGUACGAUACAACAUUUGUUUUAGGCAUUGGUGAGUGCCCUCUUAAUUUCACUUGGGAAAGUCAGUGUGGUGGGGAAUUUAUGCUUAAAGUGUCACAGAUUUGUGCUCCACAGACAACUUAGAUCUUAAUUAGUGACACGUCAACAGAGAAUGUCUGUGAGACAACGCCACUGUAGGUACUUUGUGUUGUUGAGUUCUCCCGAAUCAACUCUCAGUUCCAUAUUAGCAUGUCAGCUGACCCUGUGGUCAUGUGACCUGAAUCAGUUCUGCGUCAGGUUAUGUGUCCUGGUUGCAUGUUAGAAACACUUUCUGAAGUCGGACCUCUGAUUGAUAAUUUGGUAAAAAUCAAAGAUGGCGUCAACAGAAGGAAAAAGCUUUACUUUACUUUAUUAGACUUUUUGUCUCAUUUGUGUCUCACUAAAACAGUCGUACACACAGUACAGUCCAACUUCUAUCCGUGGAUAUGUUGGUACAUUGUUUGCAUAUAUGUUAUAAACUGGCAUUGUCAACGAGGAUCCAGGCAAAAUUUCCAACUUGAUGUACAGGAAUGUGCUGAACUCUGGAGUGACGUCAUUCCCAACUUCUGACUUAUGAGGUAAAUGGAAUGCAAAGUACAGUAAAGAUGCACAACAUUAAAAAAAAAGGAAAAAGCACCACCAAUGAAUGCAUCAGAUUUGUUUAUAUCCACUCUUCCUCGUCCUACAUUACCCACAAUGCAACUGCUGUGUAGGAGAUCCGGGUGUGUGGCCAGCGUGGCCUUAAAAUAGCAUUGUUAGUUGGGCAGGUUCACUUUCCCAGAGUGCAAGACUCAGUGUUCAUGUGUGUUGCUUUUGAGAGAUGCACGAAUAUAAGGUUUGAAACGCUUCCUCCUGAGACCCGGGCCACAAAAAUGACCACCUUAUUUACAUUGUUGUGAUGGAAACGGAUAGAAAUAAGAACUCUACGGUGCUGUGAAUUUGUCUCUACGUAAUAACGUAGAGCAAUAGAUGGAUCUAACUGACGGAAAGAGGAAUAAAUACCGUACAGAACGAAGCGGCUGAGAGUAAAAAAAAAAACAUAUUUCUAAGGAGUGAACCAGAUGUUUGCAUUUUUUUUUUCAAGCGAGCGACUGCAAACGGCCGGAACAGCCUCUUUUGAAAUACCUGCGCAAUUGCGGGGUUUGCCGACAUUAUGGUUGUUAUUGGCUCUAAAUAAUAAAAGCCUUUUUUAGCGUCCCCCAGUCCAAAUAAAGGUGUACACGGGCUAUUCCUCUGGUUACCCCCCCUUGCCCCCCGCCCUCCUCAUGAGAUGGCUGUGUGCAGCGCCGGCCGGGCUGCAGGUGAGCUGUAAUUAAGCAGAAAGCAGACAUUAUGGAGCAGAAAGAGCUGCAGGGAGACGCAGCUCUUUCUGCCAUCUGAUCCAGCAGCAGCAGACACGUUGCACACUCUGGAGCUGGCCAAGCAAGCCUCUAAUUCCCUCCUCCUCUCUUUCUCUCUAACACACACACACACACACACACACACACACACACACACACACACACACACACACACACACACACACACACACACACACACACACACACACGCAUACACACGCAUACACACAUACACACUUGCAGAUACCUUCACAUUAUCCAUGUGUCUGCCUGUUCCUUUUUUUUCACAG